CGCACGCUGCCCCGCGUACUCUGGAGGG
Molecule: small RNA, 28 nt
Filed under: Bombyx mori (domestic silkworm)
Lineage: Eukaryota; Metazoa; Arthropoda; Insecta; Lepidoptera; Bombycidae
Description: ovarian small RNA-14317
Source: RNAcentral